Solanum pennellii is the source of this 1403-nucleotide RNA transcript. It is a transcript of the gene named protein kish-like, with no coding region annotated. Lineage: Eukaryota; Viridiplantae; Streptophyta; Magnoliopsida; Solanales; Solanaceae. The transcript is spliced from 3 exons. The record is from RefSeq and is a predicted model, not a curated record.
UCCACUUGUCUUCUAUCAAAACCAAAAAAUUAAUUUUCAAAUUCAUCAAUGCUUGCGAUCUGAAACUUCCGCAUCACAAUCACUAUCAUCGUUACAAUUUCUGCUAUUGCCCUCUCAUUUAGAUUUGGUGACUUGGUUGAAGCAAAAAUUGUUCAAGACAGGAAAGUUCAGAUAUGUCAGCGCUAUUUAAUUUCCAUUCCUUCUUGACAGUAGUGCUGUUAUGGAUUUGUACAUGCACUUAUGUAAAGAUGCAUUUUCCAGCACUUCUUGAACAAAGAACUGGGUAAGUCAACCAGAUUUAUCGUGUUUAAACGUCGUCAUCUCUCUCAUUUAUCGUCAUUGUUGCCAUUCAAUUGGAUGCAUAUAGACAGCAACAAUCACUUUAGCCACUUUCUCUCUGUGACUCGCCCCAAUCUCCAUCGUUAGAUGGGCAAUGAGGAGGUUGGUAAAGGAUGGAAGGAAUUUACAAUGAACUGAAGAAGAUAUUUUACGUCCUAAUUAGAUACUGUACUACUACUUAUGGCAGGUUUCGAGGCUUCUUCUGGAAGGCUGCUAGAAUAGGUAAAGCUUAUUUCCUACCAUGCUGGUAAUGUUGCUACUUAGAAACUGUCUGUGUUGAUUUAAUUUGUUUCUUCUCAUGUAAUUGGAGUUCUGUUACUUUGGUUAAAUAAUAACAGUGUACGUAAUUUUCCUUAACCAAAUUGCUUGCAAGUUAUCCCAUUAAUAAUGCAAGCGAAGAACAAGCUGUGGAUUUAAUGCUGUUACACAUUAUAUGAGUGGAUGUUAUUGCAUUAGCGCGGUUAAGUAUUGUUUAUGUGUAUGCAUAAUUUAUUUUUCUGCUCCUACUCUAUGCUAGGAACUCUGGUGUCCGUCAUAGGAUGUGUAAAUGGGGGAAAUAACAUUAGGAAACAGGGAAAUCAUUUCUCUGUUGUAGCAUAUUGAAUAUAAUGUCUUCUCUCAAGGUGUUGUUAACUAACUGGUGUGCUUCAACGUAGCAGGUGAGCGGCUGAGUCCUUGGAUGGCUGUAGGCUGCUUGACAAUGGGUGUUUCAAUAAUCUUCUUCUAAACUCGAAGAGUUGCUUGUGACAAAAAAAUAGACCUGGGAGCUAAUUCUUCUGCACUUGUUUUUGCCUCCUUCUUUGAUCAAACUUGAGCAAUGAAUCAUUGUGACACUACUUUGAUUUGGAACUAAGCUUUUGCUUGUAAGAUGGUCUUUGUUAUGAGGAGGGUUGAGGUUAUUGAUUCUGACUUUUGUAACACACUCCACUUGAUACCUUUUUGUUUAUGAUGGUGGUGUCUGAGUCAGUUUUUGCGCAUCUCGACUAAUUUCAUUCUGACUUUUGUAACACACUCCACUUGAUACCUUUUUGUUUAUGAUCGUGGUGUCUGAGUCAGUUUUUGCG